CUGGCUCAGGACGAACGCUGGCGGCGUGCUUAACACAUGCAAGUCGAACGGUGAAGAGGAGCUUGCUCCUUGGAUCAGUGGCGAACGGGUGAGUAACACGUGAGCAAUCUGCCCUUGACUCUGGGAUAACUGCGGGAAACUGUAGCUAAUACCGGAUAUUACCUUGGAAGGCAUCUUCUGGGGUGGAAAGAAUUUUGGUCAAGGAUGAGCUCGCGGCCUAUCAGCUAGUUGGUGAGGUAAUGGCUCACCAAGGCGACGACGGGUAGCCGGCCUGAGAGGGUGACCGGCCACACUGGGACUGAGACACGGCCCAGACUCCUACGGGAGGCAGCAGUGGGGAAUAUUGCACAAUGGGCGCAAGCUGAUGCAGCAACGCCGCGUGAGGGACGACGGCCUUCGGGUUGUAAACCUCUUUUAGUAGGGAAGAAGCGACUGGGUUUUCCUGGGAGUGACGGUACCUGCAGAAAAAGCACCGGCUAACUACGUGCCAGCAGCCGCGGUAAUACGUAGGGUGCAAGCGUUGUCCGGAAUUAUUGGGCGUAAAGAGCUCGUAGGCGGUUUGUCGCGUCUGCUGUGAAAACCCGAGGCUCAACCUCGGGCCUGCAGUGGGUACGGGCAGACUAGAGUGCGGUAGGGGAGAUUGGAAUUCCUGGUGUAGCGGUGGAAUGCGCAGAUAUCAGGAGGAACACCAAUGGCGAAGGCAGAUCUCUGGGCCGUAACUGACGCUGAGGAGCGAAAGCAUGGGGAGCGAACAGGAUUAGAUACCCUGGUAGUCCAUGCCGUAAACGUUGGGAACUAGAUGUGGGGACCAUUCCACGGUCUCCGUGUCGCAGCUAACGCAUUAAGUUCCCCGCCUGGGGAGUACGGCCGCAAGGCUAAAACUCAAAGGAAUUGACGGGGGCCCGCACAAGCGGCGGAGCAUGCGGAUUAAUUCGAUGCAACGCGAAGAACCUUACCAAGGCUUGACAUAUACCGGUAACGCCUGGAAACAGGUGCCCCGCAAGGUCGGUAUACAGGUGGUGCAUGGUUGUCGUCAGCUCGUGUCGUGAGAUGUUGGGUUAAGUCCCGCAACGAGCGCAACCCUCGUCCUAUGUUGCCAGCACGUAAUGGUGGGAACUCAUGGGAUACUGCCGGGGUCAACUCGGAGGAAGGUGGGGAUGACGUCAAAUCAUCAUGCCCCUUAUGUCUUGGGCUUCACGCAUGCUACAAUGGCCGGUACAAAGGGCUGCGAUACCGCAAGGUGGAGCGAAUCCCAAAAAGCCGGUCUCAGUUCGGAUUGAGGUCUGCAACUCGACCUCAUGAAGUCGGAGUCGCUAGUAAUCGCAGA
Molecule: ribosomal RNA, 1327 nt
Filed under: Cryobacterium sp. Lc50-1
Lineage: Bacteria; Bacillati; Actinomycetota; Actinomycetes; Micrococcales; Microbacteriaceae
Description: bacterial SSU rRNA
Rfam family: Bacterial small subunit ribosomal RNA
Source: RNAcentral